RNAcentral lists this ribosomal RNA (243 nucleotides) under Leptospira wolffii. RNAcentral's name for it is "partial 16S ribosomal RNA". It matches the Rfam family "Bacterial small subunit ribosomal RNA", at positions 119 to 354 of the family's 1533-position model. Lineage: Bacteria; Pseudomonadati; Spirochaetota; Leptospiria; Leptospirales; Leptospiraceae. The record is from RNAcentral.
GGGUAAUCUUCCUCCGAAUCUGGGAUAACUUUCCGAAAGGAAAGCUAAUACCGGAUAGUUCUAUUGGAUCACAGGAUUUGAUAAAUAAAGGUUUACUGUUCGGAGAUGAGCCCGCGGCCGAUUAGCUAGUUGGUGAGGUAAUGGCUCACCAAGGCGACGAUCGGUAGCCGGCCUGAAAGGGUGUCCGGCCACAAUGGAACUGAGACACGGUCCAUACUCCUACGGGAGGCAGCAGGUUAAGGU